RNAcentral lists this non-coding RNA (148 nucleotides) under Pan troglodytes (chimpanzee). Lineage: Eukaryota; Metazoa; Chordata; Mammalia; Primates; Hominidae. The record is from Rfam by way of RNAcentral.
GCUGGGCGUGGUGGCGCGCGCCUGUAAUCCCAGCUACUCAGGAGGCUGAGGCAGGAGAAUCGCUUGAACUCAGGAGGCAGAGGUUGCAGUGAGCCGAGAUCGUGCCAUUGCACUCCAGCCUGGGUGACAGAGCUAGACUCUGUCUCAA